AGCGUGUGGUGGUCAUUGUGAGCUCUGUCAUCUUCUUCCAGACGCCUGUCUCACCUAUAAACUCUCUCGGCACUGGGAUUGCCCUUGCUGGUGUUUUCUUGUAUUCAAGAGUGAAGCGCAUUAAGCCAAAAUCAAAGACAGCUUGAAGUUAAGUGGAGAAAUUGUGUUUAAAUUGGGUUGUUGGAUGAUAGCAAGGAAUCAGCCGGAAAUUUUAUUUACUUUAUUUUUGGGUUUCGGACUCUUUGGUUUGUUCAUUUACACUAGUGGACUUCCAGCCCCAAAAAUGUAUGGGUGGAAGUAUGCUGCUUAGGAAUUUUUCGUUUUCUUUCU
Molecule: unclassified non-coding RNA, 330 nt
Filed under: Hevea brasiliensis (rubber tree)
Lineage: Eukaryota; Viridiplantae; Streptophyta; Magnoliopsida; Malpighiales; Euphorbiaceae
Source: RNAcentral